Molecule: ribosomal RNA, 787 nt
Filed under: uncultured bacterium
Lineage: Bacteria
Description: bacterial SSU rRNA
Rfam family: Bacterial small subunit ribosomal RNA
Source: RNAcentral
AGAGUUUGAUCCUGGCUCAGGAUGGACGCUAGCGGCAGGCUUAACACAUGCAAGUCGAGGGGUAUAUUUCUUCGGAGAUAGAGACCGGCGCACGGGUGCGUAACGCGUAUGCAAUCUACCUUUUACAGAGGGAUAGCCCAGAGAAAUUUGGAUUAAUACCUCAUAGCAUUGCAGGAUGGCAUCAUUCAGCAAUUAAAGUCACAACGGUAAAAGAUGAGCAUGCGUCCCAUUAGCUAGUUGGUAAGGUAACGGCUUACCAAGGCUACGAUGGGUAGGGGUCCUGAGAGGGAGAUCCCCCACACUGGUACUGAGACACGGACCAGACUCCUACGGGAGGCAGCAGUGAGGAAUAUUGGACAAUGGGCGCAAGCCUGAUCCAGCCAUGCCGCGUGCAGGAUGACGGUCCUAUGGAUUGUAAACUGCUUUUAUACGAGAAGAAACACUCCUUCGUGAAGGAGCUUGACGGUAUCGUAAGAAUAAGGAUCGGCUAACUCCGUGCCAGCAGCCGCGGUAAUACGGAGGAUCCAAGCGUUAUCCGGAAUCAUUGGGUUUAAAGGGUCCGUAGGCGGUUUAAUAAGUCAGUGGUGAAAGCCCAUCGCUCAACGGUGGAACGGCCAUUGAUACUGUUAGACUUGAAUUAUUAGGAAGUAACUAGAAUAUGUAGUGUAGCGGUGAAAUGCUUAGAGAUUACAUGGAAUACCAAUUGCGAAGGCAGGUUACUACUAAUUGAUUGACGCUGAUGGACGAAAGCGUGGGUAGCGAACAGGAUUAGAUACCCUGGUAGUCG